CUUUAUUCAUGCCAUAGCCUGACAGUUGAGGGCUGAGGUCCUGGUCAAAAUACAGAUUCAAUAAGGAUUCCAGCAUUGAAAGUGUCAGGUUAUAGUAUUCAAUCCUCAGAAGCUAUAAGAAACAACUGGUACAAAAUUCAGAUGGUAUGAAUAGGCGGUAAGAAUCGUGUGGUCAUCAGCAAUCAAGAGAAUUCGUGACUUAGAAGAUAAAACAGACAUCCAGAAAAGACAAAUAAAAGACUUAGAAGAAAAGAGUAACCGAAAACAUGGAUAAGAUCCCAGGAAGACAAGUGCUUCUAAACCUUCAAAGAUGGCAAAAUUGUUUACACCAGUGAGAGGGAGAUCAAAAGCUAAGAACUACCCUGUAGCCAGGACUACAACUGUGUAUUUUAAAGCCAUUAUUCAAGGUUUCUUACUUGACAGUUCCUACACAACCCUGUUGAAAAUCUACAAUAUAUGCUGCAUUUAAUGAAACAUGUAUAUGUCAAAUCAGAAGAGAAGAACUAUAAACAUAUAUUGUGUAAAGAAAAAGUUCAGCAAUGGAACUAGUUUCUGCAGAUCAAGCAAAGAUGUGUCUUGGGCAUGGAACCAAAGUUACAAUGAAAUAUUCAACCCCUGCUGUGCAGGGGGGUCAUUUUAAUGUAACACCACACCCCAUGGAAACACUAGUCCUGAUAAUAAACAUCAUUUUAAAAGAUCAAAACAAACAAACAAAAAAAACAAGGGUGGGUGGGGAGUGAAGCACGAGGAAUACCUAUGAAGAGCUAUUUACAAUAAAAUGUUUCAUUUGAAAAGUCUGGUU
RNAcentral lists this long non-coding RNA (802 nucleotides) under Homo sapiens (human). Its description in RNAcentral is "HSALNT0330093". The record is from RNAcentral. Lineage: Eukaryota; Metazoa; Chordata; Mammalia; Primates; Hominidae.